Molecule: ribosomal RNA, 3457 nt
Filed under: Triticum aestivum (bread wheat)
Lineage: Eukaryota; Viridiplantae; Streptophyta; Magnoliopsida; Poales; Poaceae
Description: partial small subunit ribosomal RNA
Source: RNAcentral
GUCUGAUUGGUUGAGCCUGCUGGAAAGCCCAUUGGCCCCCCAAUCCCCACAGCCGCACGCCGCACCUCUCCCUCCUCCGGUCCUCCCUCGUCUCAGCCGCCACCCCCACGAACCCUAGCCGCGCCCUCCUGCAUCUGUCCUCCUGCCCCUGGUCUGCCCCAAGCCCCUCCUCAUCUCCUUGUCGCACCCACCUCAUCACCAGCGACGGCCGCCCUGGACGCAUGAGCUAGCCGAGGAAAAGCGGGGUGGCGCGACGGCGUCGGCCGGCGGGGAGCCUGCGUACCGCGAGCCGCCCGACCUCCUUCCGUGGAUCUGCUCCUCCCAUUUCCUUUUCGUUGAUUUGCUUUUUUUGUUCGCGGCAAAUCUGCCAUGGUAAGGAGGGCCAAGUUCUGGACAGGGCGCCUCAACCUCGCCUUCCUCUUCCACCUGCUCGCUGAUAGAGAGACAGCGGCAGCGGUGGGAGGAGCCUGGGCGUAGAGGGGAGAAGUGACGAGGGGGUGCAGAGCCAGGAGAUGGGGGUUCCUGGAUGAGCACAGCGGCACAGGGCCUGGUCCCGCCGCUGCGAGAGCAGAGUGGAGGACCACACGGGGCCGCGAUGGGGUGGCAUCCGGCGAGACAAGCAGCUCCCAAGCAGGGAAUGCAGCGGUGCUGGCCUCUCCUCUCCCCGCGCCGCUGCUGUCCUGCGUCGUCACUGCCGCCACGGCCUUGCUCGCCAUUGACCUCCCCAAGUGCUUCUCUCCACAAAUGGUGCCGCCAUGUCCAGAUCAAUUUAAGCGUCGGGUACCUCCUGAUUUGAUUUUCUUUAGGAUUUGUAUGGAGCUUGAAUCAGAUCAGCGUAACUUGGAGAUGUUUUUUCUACACGGAUACUUGCAGAUAUAUGGAGGAAGAUUAGUUAGUAAUGCCCAUGUGAAGUUUGAAUGUCCAAUUCAUAGACGUCCUUCAAUUUCAUUACAAUGAUGAUAUGUUUGUUGUUCAUAUUUCCGACAGGAAAACACAACACGUGCACGUAACUUGUUUGAGGAAAUUCCAUCUGGAAGCAAUAUUUGAUCAUGACUUGUGUUCUUGAUGCUUCAUCUGCGGCUAGCUGACUACAACAGCACAGAUGUAAAGGGAAACCAUCUUAAGAAACACAGAAUCCCUCUAAAACCAACCAGCUACAAAUAUGAAAUGGCAUUGCAUUGUUACAUCAGUGGUAAGUUCCUAUGCGUACUCUCUGUUUCUCGGGAAUUGGUUGAAAGUGUUUCUUCUGGCCUUUUUCGGUAAGUGUUUCUUCUGCUAUUGACUCUCUCACUAGGCUUGUUGUCUUUGCUGCUGAAUUUUGCAUUGCUACAGGAAGACAUUGCAUUGUUGAAGGAGUCCAUUGGGGACUGGAGUCGAUGGCCUACAACAUGGGCAGACACGUGUGCUUCAUGAUUGUUGUUGGUUAACUGAGAGUAUAUGAUGCUUUGAAGGAAUGAUGUGCAUAAUUCAGACUAAAUCUUGCUGGUGAUAGUGAGGAGUUUAUUUUGCUGUAGCACUUUGAUUCUUUCUCACUGUCAAAGUUUGUUCAGCUGUUCAGCUCUUCUCUCUCAUAUUUAUUUGUUUGUUUCAGUGUGCUAUGUGCAUCUUGCUGGUGACCCAUGGCCCCCUGUUGUGCUGUCCAUAGAAAGCCUGCACAGGCGGCGGGAGUGGCGGCCAAGAUGAUGGGCGCGGGAGCGGCGCACGUGUGAGCAAUGAUGAGUGUGUCUGCUGCCAACAUGCGAAGAAACUGAACAGGGAAGAGACCCAUGGCCCAGAGUAGUACAUGCAAAUGAAGGAUACCAGAAUUGCCCAUGGAGCAUGAGAUCCUCUUUGUCAGGGGCCACCUUACUUGUAUGGCCUCAGGCUGAGGAGACCCUUCUAAUUAAGGUGGUCACUACUUGCAUAUUUGAACCUAGAAUAGAAUGUCAUUUCGUGUUUGUCAGUAGGAUCUCAUGUUUAAUCUACAGAUCUUUUUAGUCAGUCUAUUUGCAGACCAGUUGCGAGUUAGUACCUGGGAAAAAUGAACAUUUUUCUACCUCAAAUUUGCAUAUCAGUAUCCUUGUCUAAUUUAAGAUUGCUUUUCUUACUAUGAAGAAGAUUUGUGCUGCUGUAGUGUUCUUCAGUUUCUGGUGUUUAGAUGCCAGUUCAUUGUUGAGACAGUUCUGCUAUGUCCGUCUUCUGAAAAAUACAGUAAGUAAAUUUUGUUUUCUGGACAUUGUCGCAGAUCCUAUUCGCCAAAGGAAAAAUAAAUAGAUAUAGAGGUAUAAAUUCAACAAAAAACAUUUUUUGAUUAAAAGGCUAUUCCAUUUGUCACCUACUGUACUUGCCCAUGACUAAAACAAUUAAUACAUGGUUUUCUUUUCAAAGCAUACAUGGAAUUAGUAGGCCUCUGCGCAAUUUGGUGCAACGGGUAUAAUGCUGCCAGGAGAUUAAGUAUAUUCAUGAAGUUGUGCAAAGUUAAAAAUUGGUUGCGCUAUCUCACAUUUGUCAAAUCCUCAUAUGUUGCUGGUAGCCAUGCUUAUGCCCAGAAUAUUAAGUAAGCUUGUGCUAUGCUGUGACUAAAUAAAGCAUUGUUCAGACUUAUCUUUUGUUUGCUCUACUUAAAGUGUUCAGGGUUUACCCAGAGGGCAAUUAUAUGUUCCCUACUGCCGUCUCCCGCGUGACGUCAAGAAAAUCCCUGAUGUUUCUGUUUUACUUGGCCUAAAUUUUGGUUUUCAAAUAGUUCUGCCUCUCAAUUUGAUAUUUCUACUUGCUUUUGCUUAGUAAUAUGAUGUACUGUUUUCUAGCUCUAGGCCUACUUGUGUUUAAGGUUCAGUUGAUUGUUUUUCUUAAGGGUGUUUUUUUUAAUUAGUGGCAUCAACAUGUGGCACUAAUUCCGUUGUGCAUUGUACUGUGAUUUUUUCAAACAACACCAUUAUGGUAAACAGAGAUGCUAAUGAGAAUAACAGAGAUGCUAAGAGGCAGCCUUUUGGGGUUAAGGAUAUAAACAACAACAUGGCUUAUGAGUCCGAAGAGAGCCCGAGUGGCGUCUUUUGGUUCUUGAAGCCCUGCACUUUCCUGGUGGAGUAGCAGCAAAAUAAUUCAGAGACUUUCAAGCUACUGCUUUUCAUGUAGUUAGGAUCAAUUUUUGGUCUCAGUUUGAAAUACUCUCCACUUCCUCCUAUUUGAUUGAUUUGUCUGAUGGACAUUUUGUCAGGCAAAUAAACAGAAGGCAUAUGUAUUAUUACGAGUGAAGCCAUCCAUACAAGUCAAGAUAUUAAUAAUCCCAUAUGUGGAAUUCGAGAUAUAGAGAAAUGUUAUUAUUCUUCUGCUAAUUGGUUGCUUGACCAAAUAUACUGUAAAUGACAUUAUUAUUGUUCAAGAUAUACAUCAAUGUUGUUGUUCUUCAUUGUAGUGGAUGAUAUCCAUCCCAAUUAUUGAGAUGACGGAAGUACUACUAAGGAGUUUUGUCUCUGAC